GCUUACGUAGUAUAGUGGUUAGUACUCCACGUUGUGGCCGUGGCGACCCUGGUUCGAUUCCAGGCGUGGGCA
This 72-nucleotide transfer RNA is filed under the name Coemansia sp. RSA 552. RNAcentral describes it as "tRNA-His". It matches the Rfam family "tRNA". From Rfam's summary of the family: Transfer RNA (tRNA) molecules are approximately 80 nucleotides in length. Their secondary structure includes four short double-helical elements and three loops (D, anti-codon, and T loops). The record is from RNAcentral. Lineage: Eukaryota; Fungi; Kickxellomycota; Kickxellomycetes; Kickxellales; Kickxellaceae.